GUCCAUCACAGUAGGACAGGCGGAAGUGACGUCUACCUGCAACGCGACGCCACUUCGGCUGCGCUCUUUCAGAAUAAAAGACUUUCGUUGCUCGUGACUCUCGUGAAAGGGUUAGAGAAAGAAGCUGGCGCCCUCUGCCGGCCGGCAGUCAGCCUGCCUGUGGUUAUCUGGAGCUGUCGCUGUAGUCAUGAUGCUACAGGACAAAGUGACACUUCUCACUCCACCUGGUCUGUCGUUCUGAUUGGCUGACUCCUUCCUGGAGGCAGCUCAUUGGCUGACAUGACGGUGCCAACCUGUGACUCUAAAAUACAAACCAGUAUUCCACUUUGUUCAUUUAAAUGUUACUUUAAAUGAAUUUCUUUUAUGAAAAUGAUUAAAGGGUGUUAUUUAAUGAGACAUUUAUGGAGCUAAAUUGGGGCCAUAAAGUUUGUUUUUGAACCUGAAGAAAACUAAAACUCAAAAAUAACCUUUAAUUUCAAAAGUAGUAUUUUUCCUGUAAGACCAGCAGGUGUUCCCAGGCGGCGCUAAAGGGUCGUGGCGUUAAAGGGGCGGCGGCGCUGCAGCCGGGUCGUGGCGUUAAAGGGGCGGCGGCCGGGUCACCAGGUGAGAAAAGAGACGCAGGACGCAGCUUGUGUUGAACUUUAUUGAUCAUCUGCAGUGAGUCUCUGCUGCAGCUCAAUCGGUUAAAUUAGCUGCAGUUUACAGCAAUAACUUACGCUUUACAGUGUUACUCGUUUCCAUGGCGACAGGACAGGAAGCAUCAGGUUCUGAACAAAGCCAGUUUUGUUGGGUACAGGUCCAAAAGGUUCCGAUCAGUAGUUUAACUGGACCUGAUCGGAUCGAAGGUUAGUGGGUUAAUCAGACCCGGCCCGAAGGUUCUGGUUCUGGUACCGUACAACAUACCGGGCUGUGUUCAGAAUCAAACCUUCCAGACGCUACAGCUACCAGAAACAUCAAUAUCAUCACCUUCAGGUCGCCAUGGGAACGCUGUUCUGAAGGGGUGGGGCCAUGCAGGGCAGGGGGCGG
Long non-coding RNA from Xiphophorus couchianus (Monterrey platyfish), 1026 nucleotides. RefSeq lists it as uncharacterized. The transcript is spliced from 2 exons. Lineage: Eukaryota; Metazoa; Chordata; Actinopteri; Cyprinodontiformes; Poeciliidae. The record is from RefSeq and is a predicted model, not a curated record.